GACGAACGCUGGCGGCGUGCUUAACACAUGCAAGUCGAACGGUAAGGCCCCAGCUUGCUGGGGUACACGAGUGGCGAACGGGUGAGUAACACGUGGGUGACCUGCCCCGCACUUCGGGAUAAGCCUGGGAAACUGGGUCUAAUACCGGAUAGGACCGCACCGUGAGGGUGUGGUGGAAAGUGUUUCGGUGUGGGAUGGGCCCGCGGCCUAUCAGCUUGUUGGUGGGGUAAUGGCAUACCAAGGCGGCGACGGGUAGCCGGCCUGAGAGGGUGGACGGCCACAUUGGGACUGAGACACGGCCCAGACUCCUACGGGAGGCAGCAGUGGGGAAUAUUGCACAAUGGGCGGAAGCCUGAUGCAGCGACGCCGCGUGGGGGAUGACGGCCUUCGGGUUGUAAACUCCUUUCACCAUCGACGAAGGUUUUCUGACGGUAGAUGGAGAAGAAGCACCGGCUAACUACGUG
Molecule: ribosomal RNA, 464 nt
Filed under: uncultured bacterium
Lineage: Bacteria
Description: partial 16S ribosomal RNA
Rfam family: Bacterial small subunit ribosomal RNA
Source: RNAcentral